GGAUUGGGAUAUUCCGACUCCUUAAGGGCCUGGCGCACAUAAGGUGUGACCUUUUCAUUCCCGUUGUUAUGGAGGGCCACAUCUGCCAGAGCCUGGAGUCUGCGAAGGCCGGGACCCGGUUCCCCGGCCCACAGUGGGGGUGUGCAAACCCGAGAGAACUGGGUUGCAAAUUCGUGAAGAAUCAGCAUCAUGUUUGGCAGCUGAGUAUUGGAGCCAGGAGCCUGCCAUGAGGCAUGACUCCACAGUUUCUGCAACAACAGAGCCGGGGAAAGGAGGACGCAGCAAGCGCUGAAUAUUAACCAGCAAAGGUAGAUGCUUCAAUAUCGAAACCACCGGGACCCGCAUGUGCAAAGCUACUUAAUGAGGGUGUAAUCAAACACAGUCUACCAGAAGGAAAUUAAUUAGAGUCCGGAGAGCAAGCAGGAAGCAGAACCAGGCUGCUCCCCCUCCUGGCUCUAGAACAUCACUGGCAGCCACUGCUAAGGGAGGGACAAGGCUGGGGGAUGCCAGGCCUCAGCUGGGUGCCAGGGCUCCUGUCCUCUUCCCCGUGACAUUCCGGCUUGCCUUUGGGGGACACC
RNAcentral lists this long non-coding RNA (578 nucleotides) under Homo sapiens (human). Its description in RNAcentral is "non-protein coding LRRC75A-AS1:27". Lineage: Eukaryota; Metazoa; Chordata; Mammalia; Primates; Hominidae. The record is from RNAcentral.